This 499-nucleotide ribosomal RNA is filed under the name Stomatopoda sp. 1 RWKT-2009. Its description in RNAcentral is "partial 16S ribosomal RNA". It matches the Rfam family "Bacterial large subunit ribosomal RNA", at positions 1830 to 2570 of the family's 2925-position model. The record is from RNAcentral. Lineage: Eukaryota; Metazoa; Arthropoda; Malacostraca; Stomatopoda.
GUCCAUAUGUUUGGUUUAUAUGGUCUGGCCUGCCCACUGAUGUUUAAAAUUUAAAGGGCCGCGGUAUUCUGACCGUGCGAAGGUAGCAUAAUAAUUAGUCUCCUAAUUAGAGGCUUGUAUGAAUGGUCGGACAAGAUGGAAACUGUCUCUAUACAAUAAAUAAAAUUUAAUAUUUGAGUAAAAAAGCUUAAAUAAAAUGGAGGGACGAUAAGACCCUAUAAAGCUUUAUGAUAUGUUUUUUUAAUAUAAAUUGUUUUGUUAUUAACAUAUUUUAAAUUAUAUAUUAUUUUACUGGGGCGGUAAAAGUAUAAUGAAUGAAUAACUGCUUUUAUUUUGUAUAACAAUUAUAGUUGAAAAUAAAUUGAUCCAUUAUUAAUGAUUACAAGAACAAGUUACUUUAGGGAUAACAGCAUAAUUUUUUUUGAGAGUUCUUAUCGAAAAAAAAGUUUGUGACCUCGAUGUUGAAUUAAGGAUACCUUAAGGUGCAGCAGUUUAAAGG